Molecule: non-coding RNA, 494 nt
Organism: Rattus rattus (black rat)
Lineage: Eukaryota; Metazoa; Chordata; Mammalia; Rodentia; Muridae
Source: the annotation of a RefSeq genome assembly
CCAUGACAUGGACUCUACUAUUCCUUGUCUUCCUUCAUCACUUAACAGGGUCAUGUGCCCAGGUUGUGCUUACUCAGCCAAACUCUGUGUCUACAUCUCUAAGAAGCACAGUCAAACUGUCUUGCAAACUCAGCUCUGGUAACAUUGGAAACAACUAUGUGCACUGGUACCAGCAGCAUGAGGGAAGAUCUCCCACCACUAUGAUUUACAAUGAUGAUAAGAGACCGGAUGGAGUUCCUGAUAGGUUCUCUGGCUCCAUUGACAGCUCUUCCAACUCAGCCUUCCUGACAAUCAAUAAUGUGCAGACUGAAGAUGAAGCUGACUACUACUGUCACUCUUACAGUAGUGGUAUUAAUCACAGUGAUGUGAACCAUGGAGGAAAUUUCAAAAUCUUUGUGGUGAUGCAGGAAGCUAAUAUUUAUGACUACACGUAUGAAGUAAACAAUCCACAGCCUUUCAAGGAGGGCUUCCAUUCUCUCAAAAGAAAUCAUUGA